Molecule: ribosomal RNA, 497 nt
Filed under: uncultured bacterium
Lineage: Bacteria
Description: partial 16S ribosomal RNA
Rfam family: Bacterial small subunit ribosomal RNA
Source: RNAcentral
GAUGAACGCUGGCGGCGUGCCUAAUACAUGCAAGUCGAGCGAACAGACGAGGAGCUUGCUCCUCUGACGUUAGCGGCGGACGGGUGAGUAACACGUGGAUAACCUACCUAUAAGACUGGGAUAACUUCGGGAAACCGGAGCUAAUACCGGAUAAUAUAUUGAACCGCAUGGUUCAAUAGUGAAAGACGGUUUUGCUGUCACUUAUAGAUGGAUCCGCGCCGCAUUAGCUAGUUGGUAAGGUAACGGCUUACCAAGGCGACGAUGCGUAGCCGACCUGAGAGGGUGAUCGGCCACACUGGAACUGAGACACGGUCCAGACUCCUACGGGAGGCAGCAGUAGGGAAUCUUCCGCAAUGGGCGAAAGCCUGACGGAGCAACGCCGCGUGAGUGAUGAAGGUCUUCGGAUCGUAAAACUCUGUUAUUAGGGAAGAACAAUUGUGUAAGUAACUAUGCACGUCUUGACGGUACCUAAUCAGAAAGCCACGGCUAACUACGUG